GAAGGACCCUUGGAGUCCGACGAGGUGUUUGAAUUUGUUCCCUGCAAAGCAAAUCCGUCGGCUUCUACUAAUCUUUUUAACGAUCAAGGCAAGCCCCGGUGCAUUUAUACCUAUCUAUUUGGAGUCGUUAUUUCAUGUGACUAGUUAUAGGUUAUUUGGUUAUUGUAUGCAUUAAGUCUAGGAGUUGGAUGAAACCUAUUCUUGUGUAUGAUCAUGCCUUGAAUUAAGGACAUCUUUGCCACUUG
RNAcentral lists this long non-coding RNA (245 nucleotides) under Setaria italica (foxtail millet). RNAcentral's name for it is "long non-coding RNA (SITA_LNC003131)". Lineage: Eukaryota; Viridiplantae; Streptophyta; Magnoliopsida; Poales; Poaceae. The record is from RNAcentral.